UAAGUUAAUAAGGGCGCACGGUGGAUGCCUUGGCACUAGGAGCCGACGAAGGACGUGACAAACGACGAUAUGCCUUGGGUAGCUGUAAGUAAGCGAUGAUCCAGGGAUUUCCGAAUGGGGGAACCCAACAGGUAAUACCUGUUACCUACAUCUGUUAAGGAUGUGAGGAGGAAGACGCAGUGAACUGAAACAUCUAAGUAGCUGCAGGAAGAGAAAGCAAAAGCGAUUGCCUUAGUAGCGGCGAGCGAAACGGCAGAAGGGCAAACCGAAGAGUUUACUCUUCGGGGUUGUAGGACUGCAAUGUGGACUCAAAGAUUAUAGAAGAAUGAUUUGGGAAGAUCAGCCAAAGAGAGUAAUAGCCUCGUAUUUAAAAUAGUCUUUGUACUUAGCAGUAUCCUGAGUACGGCGGGACACGUGAAAUCCCGUCGGAAUCUGGGAGGACCAUCUCCCAACCCUAAAUACUCCCUAGUGACCGAUAGUGAACCAGUACCGUGAGGGAAAGGUGAAAAGCACCCCGGGGGGGGAGUGAAAUAGAACCUGAAACCGUGUGCCUACAACAAGUUCGAGCCCGUUAAUGGGUGAGAGCGUGCCUUUUGUAGAAUGAACCGGCGAGUUACGUUAUGAUGCGAGGUUAAGUUGAAGAGACGGAGCCGUAGGGAAACCGAGUCUGAAUAGGGCGCCUUAGUAUCAUGACGUAGACCCGAAACCAUGUGACCUACCCAUGAGCAGGUUGAAGGUGCGGUAAGACGCACUGGAGGACCGAACCAGGGCACGUUGAAAAGUGCUUGGAUGACUUGUGGGUAGCGGAGAAAUUCCAAACGAACUUGGAGAUAGCUGGUUCUCUCCGAAAUAGCUUUAGGGCUAGCGUCGACAUUAGAGAUUCUUGGAGGUAGAGCACUGUUUGGGUGAGGGGUCCAUCCCGGAUUACCAAUCUCAGAUAAACUCCGAAUGCCAAUGAAUUAUGGUCGGCAGUCAGACUGCGAGUGCUAAGAUCCGUAGUCGAAAGGGAAACAGCCCAGACCACCAGCUAAGGUCCCAAAAUAAUUGUUAAGUGGAAAAGGAUGUGGGGUUGCACAGACAACUAGGAUGUUAGCUUAGAAGCAGCUAUUCAUUCAAAGAGUGCGUAAUAGCUCACUAGUCGAGUGACCCUGCGCCGAAAAUGUACCGGGGCUAAAACAAUUUACCGAAGCUGUGGAUACCUUUAUAGGUAUGGUAGGAGAGCGUUCUAUGUGUGAUGAAGGUAUACCGUGAGGAGUGCUGGAACGCAUAGAAGUGAGAAUGCCGGUAUGAGUAGCGAAAGACAGGUGAGAAUCCUGUCCACCGUAAGACUAAGGUUUCCAGGGGAAGGCUCGUCCGCCCUGGGUUAGUCGGGACCUAAGGAGAGACCGAAAGGUGUAUCCGAUGGACAACAGGUUGAUAUUCCCGUACUAGAGUAUGUAGUGAUGGAGGGACGCAGUAGGCUAACUAAAGCAGACGAUUGGAAGAGUCUGUCUAAGCAGUGAGGUGUGAAUUGAGUCAAAUGCUUAAUUCUAUAACAUUGAGCUGUGAUGGGGAGCGAAGUUUAGUAGCGAAGUUAGUGACGUCACACUGCCAAGAAAAGCUUCUAGCGUUUAAACAUACUCUACCCGUACCGCAAACCGACACAGGUAGUCGAGGCGAGUAGCCUCAGGUGAGCGAGAGAACUCUCGUUAAGGAACUCGGCAAAAUGACCCCGUAACUUCGGGAGAAGGGGUGCUGACUUAAAGUCAGCCGCAGUGAAUAGGCCCAAGCAACUGUUUAUCAAAAACACAGCUCUCUGCUAAAUCGUAAGAUGAUGUAUAGGGGGUGACGCCUGCCCGGUGCUGGAAGGUUAAGAGGAGUGCUUAGCGUAAGCGAAGGUAUGAAUUGAAGCCCCAGUAAACGGCGGCCGUAACUAUAACGGUCCUAAGGUAGCGAAAUUCCUUGUCGGGUAAGUUCCGACCCGCACGAAAGGCGUAAUGAUUUGGGCACUGUCUCAACGAGAGACUCGGUGAAAUUUUAGUACCUGUGAAGAUGCAGGUUACCCGCGACAGGACGGAAAGACCCCAUGGAGCUUUACUGCAGUUUGAUAUUGAGUGUCUGUACCACAUGUACAGGAUAGGUAGGAGUCUAAGAGAUCGGGACGCCAGUUUCGAAGGAGACGCUGUUGGGAUACUACCCUUGUGUUAUGGCCACUCUAACCCAGAUAGGUGAUCCCUAUCGGAGACAGUGUCUGACGGGCAGUUUGACUGGGGCGGUCGCCUCCUAAAAGGUAACGGAGGCGCCCAAAGGUUCCCUCAGAAUGGUUGGAAAUCAUUCGCAGAGUGUAAAGGUAUAAGGGAGCUUGACUGCGAUAGCUACAACUCGAGCAGGGACGAAAGUCGGGCUUAGUGAUCCGGUGGUUCCGUAUGGAAGGGCCAUCGCUCAACGGAUAAAAGCUACCCUGGGGAUAACAGGCUUAUCUCCCCCAAGAGUUCACAUCGACGGGGAGGUUUGGCACCUCGAUGUCGGCUCGUCGCAUCCUGGGGCUGUAGUCGGUCCCAAGGGUUGGGCUGUUCGCCCAUUAAAGCGGCACGCGAGCUGGGUUCAGAACGUCGUGAGACAGUUCGGUCCCUAUCCGUCGCGGGCGUAGGAAAUUUGAGAGGAUCUGCUCCUAGUACGAGAGGACCAGAGUGGACUUACCGCUGGUGUACCAGUUGUCUUGCCAAAGGCAUCGCUGGGUAGCUAUGUAGGGAAGGGAUAAACGCUGAAAGCAUCUAAGUGUGAAACCCACCUCAAGAUGAGAUUUCCCAUGGUUAUAUAUCAGUAAGAGCCCUGAGAGACGAUCAGGUAGAUAGGUUAGAAGUGGAAGUGUGGCGACACAUGUAGCGGACUAAUACUAAUAGCUCGAGGACUUAUCCA
Molecule: ribosomal RNA, 2898 nt
Filed under: Streptococcus pneumoniae GA43265
Lineage: Bacteria; Bacillati; Bacillota; Bacilli; Lactobacillales; Streptococcaceae
Description: bacterial LSU rRNA
Rfam family: Bacterial large subunit ribosomal RNA
Source: RNAcentral